AUAGGAUUUAAUUUAUUUGGUUGAAUUUUUCCAGCACAUAAAAGAAAAUUGCACAAUCUUUUCUUAUUAUUUAUAUAUUGCCAUGCCCAUAUGUGCAACUUUAGAUUUUAAAAUUAGAGAGGAAGGUGGCUGUUUCUUUCAAAACAAACUUAAAUGGGUUGAGUUGGUAACUUGAUUUUUUUUUGGGUGCUUUUUACAUGAAAUUGAAGUGUUCACUUGUGAUAAUUAUCUGCUUG
RNAcentral lists this unclassified non-coding RNA (236 nucleotides) under Hevea brasiliensis (rubber tree). Lineage: Eukaryota; Viridiplantae; Streptophyta; Magnoliopsida; Malpighiales; Euphorbiaceae. The record is from RNAcentral.